UACAGAGGCCUCAAGCGUUGUUCGGAUUUAUUGGGCGUAAAGGGUGCGUAGGCGGUACCGAAAGUUAGGUGUGAAAGUUCGAGGCUUAACCUCGAAAUUGCACCUAAUACUCCGGUGCUUGAGUCUCAUAGAGGAAUCUGGAAUUCACGGUGUAGCAGUGAAAUGCGUAGAUAUCGUGAAGAAGGCCUGUGGCGAAAGCAAGAUUCUGGGUGACGACUGACGCUGAGGCACGAAAGCCAGGGGAGCAAACAGG
RNAcentral lists this ribosomal RNA (253 nucleotides) under uncultured bacterium. RNAcentral describes it as "partial 16S ribosomal RNA". It matches the Rfam family "Bacterial small subunit ribosomal RNA", at positions 524 to 776 of the family's 1533-position model. The record is from RNAcentral.